RNAcentral lists this ribosomal RNA (484 nucleotides) under uncultured bacterium. RNAcentral's name for it is "partial 16S ribosomal RNA". It matches the Rfam family "Bacterial small subunit ribosomal RNA", at positions 30 to 507 of the family's 1533-position model. The record is from RNAcentral.
AUUGAACGCUGGCGGCAGGCCUAACACAUGCAAGUCGAGCGGAUGAAGGGAGCUUGCUCCUGGAUUCAGCGGCGGACGGGUGAGUAAUGCCUAUGAAUCUGCCUGGUAGUGGGGGAUAACGUCCGGAAACGGGCGCUAAUACCGCAUACGUCCUGAGGGAGAAAGUGGGGGAUCUUCGGACCUCACGCUAUCAGAUGAGCCUAGGUCGGAUUAGCUAGUUGGUGGGGUAAAGGCCUACCAAGGCGACGAUCCGUAACUGGUCUGAGAGGAUGAUCAGUCACAAUGGAACUGAGACACGGUCCCGACUCCUACGGGAGGCAGCAGUGGGGAAUAUUGGACAAUGGGCGAACGCCUGAUCCAGCCAUGCCGCGUGUGUGAAGAAGGUCUUCGGAUUGUAAAGCACUUUAAGUUGGGAGGAAGGGCAGUAAGUUCAUACCUUGCUGUUUUGACGUUACCAACAGAAUAAGCACCGGCUAACUUCGUG